This 463-nucleotide ribosomal RNA is filed under the name Cozola collenettei. RNAcentral describes it as "partial large subunit ribosomal RNA". The record is from RNAcentral. Lineage: Eukaryota; Metazoa; Arthropoda; Insecta; Lepidoptera; Erebidae.
UGCCCACUGAUGUUUAAUUAAAGGGCUGCAGUAUUUUGACUGUACAAAGGUAGCAUAAUCAUUAGUCAUUUAAUUGAUGACUUGUAUGAAGGAUUGGAUGAAAUAUAAACUGUCUUAACUUUAAAUUUUAAAAUUUAAUUUUUUAGUUAAAAAGCUAAAAUAUAAUAAAAAGACGAGAAGACCCUAUAGAGUUUGAUUAAUUUUUAUAAAUAAAUGUAUUAUAUAUGAAAUAAAAUUAGGAUUUAUUUUUUAAUUUUAUUGGGGUGAUAGAAAAAUUUAAUUAACUUUUUUUUUUAUUUAAACAUAAAUAAGUGAGUUUUUGAUCCAAUUAUUAUUGAUUAUGAGAAAAAAUUACCUUAGGGAUAACAGCGUAAUUUUUUUUUUUAGUUCAUAUAAGAAAAAAAGUUUGCGACCUCGAUGUUGGAUUAAGAUAAAAUUUAAAUGCAGAAGUUUAAAGUUUUGA